This 23-nucleotide non-coding RNA is filed under the name Cricetulus griseus (Chinese hamster). Lineage: Eukaryota; Metazoa; Chordata; Mammalia; Rodentia; Cricetidae. The record is from RNAcentral.
GAUGAUUUCAGUCGUGGGGUAAG